AUUGAACGCUGGCGGCAGGCCUAACACAUGCAAGUCGAACGAGUGGCGGACGGGUGAGUAAUGUCUGGGAAACUGCCUGAUGGAGGGGGAUAACUACUGGAAACGGUAGCUAAUACCGCAUACCAUCGGAUGUGCCCAGAUGGGAUUAGCUAGUAGGUGGGGUAACGGCGCACCUAGGCGCCGAUCCCUCGCUGGUCUGAGAGGAUGAACAGCCACACUGUAACGGAGACACGGUCCAGACCCGUACGGGAGGCAGCAGUGGGGAAUAUUGCACAAGGGGCGAAAGCCUGAUGCAGCCAUGCCGCGUGUAUGAAGAAGGCCUUCGGGUUGUAAAGUACUUUCAGCGGGGAGGCGUUACCCGCAGAAGAAGCACCGGCUAACUCCGUGCCAGCCGCCGCGGUAAUUC
This 406-nucleotide ribosomal RNA is filed under the name uncultured bacterium. RNAcentral's name for it is "partial 16S ribosomal RNA". It matches the Rfam family "Bacterial small subunit ribosomal RNA", at positions 30 to 526 of the family's 1533-position model. The record is from RNAcentral.